GAUGAACGCUGGCGGCGUGCCUAAUACAUGCAAGUCGAGCGAACAGAUAAGGAGCUUGCUCCUUUGACGUUAGCGGCGGACGGGUGAGUAACACGUGGGUAACCUACCUAUAAGACUGGGAUAACUUCGGGAAACCGGAGCUAAUACCGGAUAACAUUUGGAACCGCAUGGUUCUAAAGUGAAAGAUGGUUUUGCUAUCACUUAUAGAUGGACCCGCGCCGUAUUAGCUAGUUGGUAAGGUAACGGCUUACCAAGGCGACGAUACGUAGCCGACCUGAGAGGGUGAUCGGCCACACUGGAACUGAGACACGGUCCAGACUCCUACGGGAGGCAGCAGUAGGGAAUCUUCCGCAAUGGGCGAAGGCCUGACGGAGCAACGCCGCGUGAGUGAUGAAGGGUUUCGGCUCGUAAAACUCUGUUAUUAGGGAAGAACAAAUGUGUAAGUAACUGUGCACGUCUUGACGGUACCUAAUCAGAAAGCCACGGCUAACUACGUG
RNAcentral lists this ribosomal RNA (497 nucleotides) under uncultured bacterium. RNAcentral's name for it is "partial 16S ribosomal RNA". It matches the Rfam family "Bacterial small subunit ribosomal RNA", at positions 28 to 507 of the family's 1533-position model. The record is from RNAcentral.